GGAAACGAGGGUCCAACACAGAUUCUGAUAUGUACCUCUCAUUUCUUUCAAGACUUUGUUUGCUCAAGUGGUUGACAACUUUCAUUGUGAUUUGAUGGUUGGGUUGUGUACAUGAAAGCUUCUUAGAGAGCAACUUGGCUAUUGUUGGUGGCAGUGUACGGUUAAUGAGGAAGGAUUGUCAAGAGUUGGUCUAAAAUUUCCCACAGCCAAGGUGGGAUGCAAAAUUGGGUGUGGAUACAUAGCUUGAGGUCAUUCACAGUAAAAGCUCCUACCUAUGCCUUGGAAUUUUUUUAAGCGCAUGCUCUUUCAUCAGCAAUAAAAUAGUCCAGAAAACCGGGGUACAUUGCACAAUUAACCACCACAGGAAGAUAUUUUUAGUAGUUGGGAGCUGCCAGAGUGGGUGCCAUUAUAGGAAAUUCAGUGUUUCUUCCAAUGACUGCUAUGCAAAAAAAGAAAAAAAAGCUGUUUUGCAUUGCUAGAAUUUUGCUCAUGAAGAACAGAAAAAGGCUUAUAUUUUAGAAGGUUAUUCAGGUAUUGUUGCUUUGGUAUAUGAAUGAAAAUAAUUAAUUAUUUACUGAGUUUUGUUUUUUUUUUUUUUUACAUAUUCUGGAGUAUUUAAUAAAACCCAAUUUUUGGAUAUGUAAAUUCAUGUGCUAUUUGAGAAGAAUAGAAAGUAGUUUGUAACAACUUAGAAUUUUUUUUUUAAUGUUGUUUGUGUAGAAAUGGAAGUGUUUUUCUAUCAGAGUUCCUUUUGAUAAGUAAUUAAAGUAGAAUUAAUAGUCUAUCUAAAGUGAAGGAAAUGUCUAUACUUGGUGAAAAGAAGAAAUUUUACCUCUAUUCUCUGAUGGUCUGAUGUAAAAAGUUAAGAAAACGGAAAAUAUUCAAACUGCUUGAUGUGUUUAAAUUUUUUAAAGAUGAGAUUUUAGAUGCAAUUCCUCUAGCAUGUAUGUGCUUCAACUUUGGACAUCGGUUUAGUAUAAUUUUCUAAAGAACCACUGGAAUUACAACUUAUCAAAAAAUAAAACCAUUUGAAUUACAAGAACUAUGUGCUUUUAAUUAUUAAAAAAAAAAAAAAAAAUCUCUAGACACUAUAAUGCUUAUGACCGUUACACACUUGAAACUUCCAUAGUGGAAAUUUGGUGGCUAGGAUUGUAAGAUGCAUUCUUAGAAUUCAAACUACAAAAGAUUGAGCAAAUUGUAACUUGACAGAGAAAAAAUAUGUAUUUAUUUUUCUUUUCCAAUUUUGUUUUAGGUUCUUUGUUCUUUUAUGGUUUUCAACUUUUCACAGAUUUAAUAUAGAUGUUGUUUAUAUAUUAAAAUUUUCAAUUGUUAACCAUGUUUGAUGCUUUAUUUAUUUAUUUAUAUCUAUUUAAGACUAGAACAACAAUACUUAUAAGUACAUCAAAGUUCUUUUUUAUAUCAGUUGUGCUUUCUCUUAUCAAUCCCUUACUUUCUACCAAUAGAAAUUAAAAUAUUGUUUCUUUGUAUUUUUACAUUGGAAUUUUACCUUAUAUUAUUAUUGAAUAUGUUCUCCUUACAUGGAGCUCAAAAGGUUUUAUUAGUUUCUAUUAUUUCAAAGGUUACAUUUAAAUAGGUCUUCAUUGUGCUAUUGCCUCCAGUUGGACAACAAUCACCCAUUUAGCACACUAAAGAAUCCAUUUGAAGGAGUUCUACAUAUGUGCUAUAGUUUUUGCAGGUGGCUGAUGAUGACUCAAUUCAUCCAAGUGAAACAGAGUUGACAUUUAUAGUUCAUCAGGCCUAGCUAGAAUAUGGCUUUGCUCACUAGAUGUUUUUUUGGUUAAUAAGUACUUAGACUUUAUUUUUUGCUAUGGGGAAUUUUGGACUUUUGACAUUGUUAUUGAACUUGACUCUACACCGCACAAUUGUAAUUUUUGUUUUUUGAAUUGAUUGGCAUUAUUAAAACAAAGCCUUUAAUAAACAUAUUAAUUGUUGUAUUUUA
This is a long non-coding RNA of Quercus robur (English oak), 1960 nucleotides long. RefSeq lists it as uncharacterized. Lineage: Eukaryota; Viridiplantae; Streptophyta; Magnoliopsida; Fagales; Fagaceae. The transcript has 4 exons. The record is from RefSeq and is a predicted model, not a curated record.